This 465-nucleotide ribosomal RNA is filed under the name uncultured bacterium. RNAcentral's name for it is "partial 16S ribosomal RNA". It matches the Rfam family "Bacterial small subunit ribosomal RNA", at positions 28 to 507 of the family's 1533-position model. The record is from RNAcentral.
GACGAACGCUGGCGGCGUGCUUAAUACAUGCAAGUCGAACGGAAAGGCGCCUUUGGGGGUACUCGAGUGGCGACCGGGUGCGUAACACGUGAGUAACCUGCCCCUGACUUUGGGAUAACUUCAGGAACCUGGGGCCAAUACCGGAUCGGAAUAAUUGCUGCAUGGUGAGGGUUGGAAAGCUUAGGAGGUUUUGGCUGGACUCGAGGCGUAUCAGCUUGUUGGUGGGGUAGUGGCUUACCAAAGCGUUGACGGGAAGCCGGACUGAGAAGGCGACCGGCCACAUUGAGACUUAGGUGCGGCCCAGACUCCUACUGGAGGCAGCAGGGGGGAAGAUUGCACAAGGAGCGGAGGCUGGAUGCAGCAACGCCGCGUGCGGGAUGACGGCCUUCGGGUUGAAAACCGCUUUCAGCAGUGGCUAAGCUUGUGGUGACGGUACCUGCAGAAGAAGCACCGGCUAACUACGUG